UGAGGAAUAUUGGUCAAUGGGCGAGAGCCUGAACCAGCCAAGUAGCGUGCAGGAUGACGGCCCUAUGGGUUGUAAACUGCUUUUAUAUGGGAAUAAAGUGAGGGACGUGUCCCUUAUUGCAUGUACCAUACGAAUAAGGACCGGCUAAUUCCGUGCCAGCAGCCGCGGUAAUACGGAAGGUCCAGGCGUUAUCCGGAUUUAUUGGGUUUAAAGGGAGCGUAGGCUGUUUGUUAAGCGUGUUGUGAAAUGUAAGAGCUCAACUUUUAGAUUGCAGCGCGAACUGGGACGCUUGAGUACGCGCAACGUUGGCGGAAUUCGUCGUGUAGCGGUGAAAUGCUUAGAUAUGACGAGGAACUCCGAUUGCGAAGGCAGCUGACGGGAGCGGCACUGACGCUUAAGCUCGAAGGUGCGGGUAUCAAACAGG
This 424-nucleotide ribosomal RNA is filed under the name Verrucomicrobiota bacterium. RNAcentral describes it as "Verrucomicrobia bacterium partial 16S ribosomal RNA". It matches the Rfam family "Bacterial small subunit ribosomal RNA", at positions 355 to 776 of the family's 1533-position model. The record is from RNAcentral. Lineage: Bacteria; Pseudomonadati; Verrucomicrobiota.